Molecule: unclassified non-coding RNA, 663 nt
Filed under: Sipha flava (yellow sugarcane aphid)
Lineage: Eukaryota; Metazoa; Arthropoda; Insecta; Hemiptera; Aphididae
Description: kRAB-A domain-containing protein 2-like, transcript variant X2
Source: RNAcentral
AUGUGGCCAGAACUUAAAAUAGUUCAUGGUAAACCUCGUCACUCACAGAGCCAGGGUUCAGUUGAACGAGCUAACCAGGACAUUGAAAAUAUGCUUGCUACUUGGUUGACAGAUAACCGUACUAAAAAAUGGAGUGAGGGGUUAAAAUUUAUCCAGUUUAUGAAAAACUGUUCAUUACACUCAGGAAUAAAAUUUUCACCUUACGAAGUAAUGUUCGGUACAAAAGCAAAAAUUGGAUUAAAGAGUACACUUCUGCCAAUAAAUAUAAUAAGCGAUUUAAGAACCGAAGAAGACCUCGAAACAGCUCUGAAUUCUAUUUCCACUACUUCAAACAGUAACAACGAUAUCGAAAAUACCGAAGCUGUACCUUUAAGAAUAAAAUCUAUUUGUGAGAGUAGAAAUGAAUCACUUAAAAAUUUAAAAGUUUAAGCGACAAAAAUGAAGCAAGCUUCCGAAAAUCGUUUCCGUCCCGGCGAAGUUGGUCAGUCAGUAACGGUUAAGAUUCCAGACGUCGAUAGGGCCCGUAGUGAUUUUAGAAAUAUUAUUGGAGUUAUUCUUUCGAUUAACAAUGACAUGUACGAAAUAGGGACUAAGGAAGGUCGCCUUUCAACUUUGUAUAGUAGAAACCAAUUUGUAAUUUGCAAGGAAAGAUUUCUGAAAGUC